This 331-nucleotide ribosomal RNA is filed under the name uncultured bacterium. Its description in RNAcentral is "bacterial SSU rRNA". It matches the Rfam family "Bacterial small subunit ribosomal RNA", at positions 568 to 898 of the family's 1533-position model. The record is from RNAcentral.
CGCGUAGGCGGUGAUGUAAGUCAGACGUGAAAUCCUUCGGCUCAACUGAAGAACUGCGUCUGAAACUGCAUGACUAGAGUGCAGAAGAGGGAAACGGAAUUCCAGGUGUAGAGGUGAAAUUCGUAGAUAUCUGGAGGAACACCGGUGGCGAAGGCGGUUUCCUGGUCUGACACUGACGCUGAGGCGCGAAAGCGUGGGGAGCAAACAGGAUUAGAUACCCUGGUAGUCCACGCCGUAAACGGUGGGUACUGGGUGUGGGAGGUGUAAUGCCUUCUGUGCCGAAGCUAACGCGUUAAGUACCCCGCCUGGGGAGUACGGCCGCAAGGUUGAA